CAGGCAGUGGUGCUGCACAGCCAGAGAUCCCCUACUCCAGUUGAGUAAGUUUGACUUUUUUUUUCCUUUGUUUUUUUUCUUUGUAUGACUGGUGGCCUACCUAUCUGCACAAAGUCUUGGAGCUGCUUGGCUCUAGGAGACAUGAACCUGUACCCUGUGUGUGCAGUGCUACAGUAAUUCACCAACCUGAUGUCUUUGUGCUAGACCAAGUCUUGGUGAUCAUAACUUGUCUAGAUCUGCCCCAAAGCAAGAGGUGGAGCCUGUGUGCGUGGGGACACUUGCCUGGGUAAUGUGAUGCAAAGGGGUUGGCCUUCCAGAUCAACACAUUAUUCUUCUCACGUCGAGAGAGUGGACAUGAAUAUCUGGCAGAUGUAUAAUAACGUGAAAUACUGGGCCCCUGAGUGCUGGCUGGCAAUAUGUUCCAUCAGAACUAGAAUGAAGCAUUCUCAUUGGAGACCUUGAAACGCUCCUUGAUUAGGCAGGUGUUAUUAAUCUUGUGUUGUCUGACAUUAAACCUCAGACAGGUGUGCAAAGUCAAAUUCAGUGCUGUGGUGCUGCUGACUGUCACUGCUGGCCUCCAAGCCAAAGUGUUCUGAGUUUGUGAUUCAUCAGGACUUUGUCAUCUGCUCACCACACAGACAAGCAAAUGGAAAGACCAGCUUGGAUGUGGUAGGAUCACCAGGUGAAGCCUUACCAGUGUGUCAGUGAUUAAUUGAAAAUGCAAGAAAAACAGAAUGCAAGUCUCAGUGUAAAAUGGUGAUGACUACUUGUCAGCUGGUCUUGGAAGAGGGACUUGGACAUUGGUAUUAAACUUCAAAAUGCUGGAAGACUUGCCCUCUAUUGACUAAAUAGUAUUUGGCAUAACAGAAAGCUGUAAAAGGGCUACUUGUAGAAGUGGAGGCCAGAGGCAAGCUUCAAGGAAAGUUAUGCUCUGGUAAUAAAGGCAGAUGUGGAAGGAGCUAGUUCUGGUGUUGGUCAAAUUGACGCUCAGAAUCCCAGAGUUAAGAGAUUUGGCUUUACAUCGUGGCAAUGCCCUGAUAUAAGCUAGAGCAAAGUAUCAAAUUUUAGCCCUGUAUUUCUUUAGUCAUAGUAAUCACGCAAACUGUUGUUUUCUGUAGUUUUUUUUCCUUUUUUUUUUCUGAGCAUGGGUCACAGACUUCACCUCAAAAUGUGACUGAGUUUAGGCAGAAUUAGAGAGAAAGCAGAGCCCUGAUUCAUAGCACACCAUUUAAUCUCGGUCUUCUAGAGGGAAGGGAAUUGUUUUACUAGUUCUGCUCAUGAAUCCCUUUUUCAAGACACACAUAUAGUGAGUUAAUGUUAUGCUAAUGCAUCUCCAUCUCAAGGGAGUAUCAAAAUGCAGAAGAUCAACCACGUUACGAUUUAUCCUCCUUCCCUGCCCAAGUUGGAGGUAGGCAGUUCCUCAGUUGCAGGUGAAGAUAUAAAAUGAUCUUUUCAAAACGUUGAGAAGCAUGAGCAGUGUCCUGCAGCUGACUUUAUGCUGCCAAGCCUAGUUUGUUCUACUUAGUCAUUACAGCUGUUGACUCUGUGUGUUACUGCAUAGAACAUGUAGAUACUGCUGCCUUAAGACCUGGCAGUAGGAUACGGGGUAUUCUGUGAUCUUGCAGUAGAAUUUCCAUGGGUAAUCAGCAAGUCUUAAUGACAUGGAAAGGGCAAUUAACAUUUUGUUAAUGGAAAACAUAUUUGAUCUGUAUCCAUAUACUUAUCGUAUGCAUUGAUAUAAAGUUAAUACAGAGACUUUCUGGAAUGGAGAUAAUUGCAGAACAGUUCUGUUUUUUUUUUCCAGCUGACAAGCAAUUUGUGAAAAUGAUAAUAAAUUAUUGCACGAUGCGUGGAAAGCAUAGACACAGUCAGAUCAAGCAUUUCAAAGUGUUCUCUUGUUUAAACAGCUUAUUAAAUUGUUAAUGACUCUGAAAGUUUUGCAUAUUGUUAUUUAAAAACA
Long non-coding RNA from Tympanuchus pallidicinctus (lesser prairie-chicken), 1960 nucleotides. RefSeq lists it as uncharacterized. The transcript has 8 exons. The record is from RefSeq and is a predicted model, not a curated record. NCBI's taxonomy places the organism in Eukaryota, Metazoa, Chordata, Aves, Galliformes, Phasianidae.